Molecule: ribosomal RNA, 301 nt
Filed under: uncultured bacterium
Lineage: Bacteria
Description: partial 16S ribosomal RNA
Rfam family: Bacterial small subunit ribosomal RNA
Source: RNAcentral
CAGCAGCCACGGUAAUACGAGGGGGGCAAGCGUUGUUCGGAAUUAUUGGGCGUAAAGGGCGCGUAGGCGGUUUGGCAAGUUUGGUGUGAAAUCUUCGGGCUCAACUCGAAGUCUGCACCGAAAACUGCCGGGCUUGAGUAUGGGAGAGGUGAGUGGAAUUUCCGGUGUAGCGGUGAAAUGCGUAGAUAUCGGAAGGAACACCUGUGGCGAAAGCGGCUCACUGGACCAUUACUGACGCUGAGGCGCGAAAGCUAGGGGAGCAAACAGGAUUAGAUACCCCAGUAGUCCCUGUCUCUUAUAA